This 89-nucleotide transfer RNA is filed under the name Lentimicrobiaceae bacterium. RNAcentral describes it as "tRNA-Ser". It matches the Rfam family "tRNA". Rfam says of the family: Transfer RNA (tRNA) molecules are approximately 80 nucleotides in length. Lineage: Bacteria; Pseudomonadati; Bacteroidota; Bacteroidia; Bacteroidales; Lentimicrobiaceae. The record is from RNAcentral. RNAcentral also lists the same sequence under 2 other names.
GGAGAGAUGGCCGAGUUGGUCGAAGGCGCACGCCUGGAAAGUGUGUAUACGCCAAAAGCGUAUCAUGGGUUCGAAUCCCAUUCUCUCCG